This is a non-coding RNA of Camelina sativa (false flax), 125 nucleotides long. Lineage: Eukaryota; Viridiplantae; Streptophyta; Magnoliopsida; Brassicales; Brassicaceae. The record is from RefSeq and is a predicted model, not a curated record.
AAAAUUGUCCAUGACCAGCUUUGCUCAAUGGUGGAGAGGUCUGACCCAGAUCUAUUAGGACCCAAUCACCAGCACCUUCCAAAAAUAGUUGCAGUUUUUGCUGAGGUCUUAUGUGCAGGCGGUGC